Molecule: RNA transcript, 8248 nt
Organism: Hippocampus zosterae (dwarf seahorse)
Lineage: Eukaryota; Metazoa; Chordata; Actinopteri; Syngnathiformes; Syngnathidae
Gene name: katanin-interacting protein
Exons: 29
Source: RefSeq, a predicted model, not a curated record
GGAGUGCCAUCCUGGUAACCGGCCAUCACAACAUUGCGGACACAUGAGGAAAGAUCCUGCGCGUAUUUCGAGAAAAGCGGCAAACGAACUGAUAAACAUUUGAUUCUUUCUAUGACCUCUACGCGCUCGGCAGAGGCGAGAAAAAGAAGAUACGGUACCAGCUUUAUAUAAUUCGAAGAAUUCUCGACUCGGGUGGAAGAUGGAUGCAACCUGAAAACCAACAAGUCACACUUUGGAAUCGUCGAAAAGGGGGGAAAAAGGUGUUAGCCUGUAGUAAAUCACAAGAGACUGAGGCAUGCCAAGGAAGGAAGCUCACUGCCGCCGUUGACGACAACGCCGAUGAAUAUUUAAUCGAGCUCCAGCACAGAAACAGGAUCCUGAAUCGCCUCAAAGCCAAAGGCCCCAGAGACAUCGAAUUGGAAAGACUUGAACAAGGCUUUUCCAUUUACUUCAACGGAGCCAAUGCCGAGUCCUGCAAGAGGCAGCGCAAGAGCACGAACCACAAGCCUGUCACCUCCACGCCCUUUUGGAGGACUCCGGGUUCAGCAGCAGAUGUCUGUCGACGCGCCCACCAGCUAAGUGAAGAUUUGGAGCCCGGCCACAAGCGCCGGAGCCACACCGCCCCCGGAAAGGUCCAGAGGAAAGAAUGGACACAGGAGUCCGUCAUAAUCCGAACAGAGGAUGGAUCGAAUUUGAAGAUAUGCCCGGAAAAGCGCUACUGUGAUGAUUUUGAGCCUUAUGAAAGUGUAGACAUGGAGAGCUCCGGCCCACACUCGCCUGGCGCUCCCUGCUCGCCGAGGGACAGCUGUGCGCUUUCACGCUCCUUCAGCUCCAGGCCCCACAAUCAAGCGGGACAAGCGAGCGAGGAGCACAGCGAAAAGGUGCUUCUCAAUCUCGAGGAAGUGAAGGUUUUACGGCGCAGCCUGGAGAACAACAUGCGGCGGAGCAGCCGCGGCUCGGCGGGGGAGGAGUCCGACGAAGAGUGGGUGGAGGAGCAAAUUGAGCGCGACGUGAGCACCGAGAGUCUCGACGAACUGGGACUUCCCCUGUCAUCCUCCAAGUCUUCCUCCAGCCCUCGGCCCAGCAGUUCACACCAUUUUGACCCAGCAAAGCUUAUUGUCCUCGACUUUGGACCGGCACCUAAAGGUCGUAAGGUUGAGCGCUCCUUGUCUGCAAAGCGGAAGGAAAACAGUGACUCCGUCCUACCCGCCAAGCCACUGCUGGUCAAGAGCAAAACAAUAGACAUGCCGCCUUCAAAAGACGGCUGGGGCAGUCCGAGUCCGGCAAGUCAGGCUGAGAGGCCCCUGUCAACAGCCAGGAGGGCUUUCACUGUGGAGCAGGACCCAGACGAGGUGGCCCGUGGGGUGUGCGACGCCAUCCAGAGGGAGAAUAAGAGUCCGGAGCUUUUCCCUUGCAACGUGGGCGGAGGGCAGCAGAUGAUGAACGGCUUAAUGCAUCGUAACGGCAGCGAAAAAGAGGACAGCAGUGUCACUGUGGCCAUGCAGAGAAUCACACUCAUGGGCUCCCGGGAACGCCACAAACUGCUGAAAGCCUUGGAGGAGCUGGAAGCUGCACCCACCUUCAACAUUCCUCAGGGUGCCAAAAGCGACUGCAGCAAACCGCCGCCGAGGCGCUCGUCCGAGGUCCCCCCUGCCGUGUAUGUCACAAUGGAGCUCCUGUCCAACUGGGGGCACGGGCUGCUGGUGGGCCUAACCGAGUUGCAGUUUUUCGGACCGGGAAACAAGAAGCUGUACGUGUCGCCGCACGACCUUGACAUCAGGAACGCUGACUAUCCGGGGAAUCUGCCGGUGCUCGUCAACGGCAGGGCCAAGACGACCAAGGAGCGCCACAUGUGGACGUGUCCCUUCCACCCUCCCAUCCAGCUCUACUUCAUCAUCCGGAACACGGAGCGCUCGGCAGACUUUGGAAUAUCGCGCAUUAAAAUCUGGAACUACAACAGAAGCCUCAACGAACUUGACAUCGGUGCACGCCAUGUAAAGCUGUACCUCAACAGCACGCUGGUGUUUGAAGGCGAGCUGGAGCGGGGCUGCGGCAAUCAGGUCUUCGACUACAGCAACACCAUCGAGCUCCAGGACUUCCAAGAUUCGGAUUCCUUGUUUUCCAGCCCGUCAUCUUCGGGAAACAAUCUCCGGGGGGCCAGCCCCCAGCGACACGAUGACGGCGGCGCGCACCAGCACCUCACUUCUGCCCUGCCGUCAUCGGAUGCGUCAAGCCAAGCCACGAUGAACGCUCAGGAGAGCUCGCACGCCCCUCUUCCACCCAUCGCCGCUCGGCGCUCCUCCGCGCAAAGAAACUCUUUUGAGGAGGCCGCCCCCAUGGCGCAGACGGUCACCGUGCAGCCGCCCUCCUCGCGGAUGACCCCCCAGUGGCUGCAGCCCCUGAAGAGAGCCGCCCCGGAGGGCUGCGAGGCCGGCAGGGAGCGGCCGCGCUGGCUGGUGCCCCAGCCGGCGCCCGCCGGCGAGCCCAAAUCGCCAUCCUCUGCCUCGUCGUCGUCGUUGCUCCCGGAGCUGCCGUGUAACCCCGGUCGGGUGUGCAGGGGAGGGGAGAGGGCGCCCAACGGGGCACAGCGGAAGGCCGAAUCUCUGGACCUCAGCUGCGACCUGCUCGACGAGCUCGGAGAGCAGAAGCAUGAGCGGCCCUUCAGUGGACGAAGGAGCUCCUUAAGGAAUAGGCAGACGGAGGAAAUCAAACACAUGAAAUCAAAUCCAGAGGCGACCGUGUCAGUCAGCGCCAGCAGGAGGCAGCGGACCCCGAGGCCAUUGGGGCACAGCCACCGGGACGACACCCUCAUGGAAUCGUGGGACUCCCUCACCAAGUUCAACCAGUGCCAACGAGGCCGCAUCUCCAACAUGGGCUUCGAAGGCGACAUAUUUGACGACUUCCAGCAGCAGCAGCAGCAGCACGGCCGCGGCUCCCCCGCGGCCCCCGUCAGCCCCUCGGCCGGCCCGCCUUGCUCAGCCUCGGCCGCCCGGGGGCUGCCGUACGAGGGCCCGGACGGGGAUUCUUUAAUGGAGCAGGAGGAAGAGUUUGAAAUCCCGGUGCUCCCCAAGGGCCAAAGGUUGCUCAUCAACAUUCGCUCCACCUGGGGGGACCGCCACUACGUGGGCCUCAACGGCCUGGAAGUGUUCAGCUCCAGCGGAGAGCCCGUCCGACCCGCUCACAUCAGCGCCGACCCCCCCGACAUCAACAUCCUGCCCGCGUACGGCAAGGACCCCCGCGUGGUCACCAACCUGACGGACGGUGUUCAUCGCACGCAGGAUGACAUGCAUCUCUGGCUCGCCCCGUUCACGCCGGGUCGGAGCCACACCAUCUUUCUGGACUUCGGACACGCCUACCACGUCGCCAUGAUACGUGUGUGGAAUUACAACAAGUCGCGCAUCCACUCCUUUCGGGGAGUCAAGGAGGUGGAGAUGAUGCUCGAUGGGAGGUGCAUCUUCAGGGGCGAGAUUGCCAAAGCUUCCGGGACUCUUUCGGGAGGGCUGGAUCAAUUCGGGGACACUAUUCUGUUCACGACCGACGAUGACAUCCUGGAGGCCAUGUCCCGUUUUGACGAAACCUUCCUCGGUGACAGCCAAGGAUCGGAGAAUCCGGUGCAUGAGGAGGAGCUGCGUAGGCCGCGCACUGCAGACGGCGAGGGAGAGGAAAGACCUUUCACGCAGGCCGGCUUCCGAGAGGAGGACCUCACCUUGAAACUUCACCUCAACGCCGGCGCGAGCCAGUUGGAGAACAUGGAGCAGAUUCCUGGGACGUACACUGGAAAGUGCCUCCGUCUGGAGCUGGCAUCCACAUGGGGCGAUUCGCACCACAUGGGCCUGACGGGACUGGAGGUGGUCGGGAAAGAUGGGGAGGCCUUACCUUUGGAACUCGGUGUCAUGGCCGCCUCAGCCGGGGGCCUUCAUGAUCUGCCCCGAUACGAACAUGACCCGCGCACCCUCGAUAAACUCAUCGAUGGCCACAACAUCACCACAGAUGAGCGACACAUGUGGCUAAUCCCUUUUUCCUACGGAGAGCCUCACACAGUGAGCAUCGCCUUCCCCCAGGCGCAGACGGUCGCCGGGCUCCGCAUCUGGAACUACAACAAGUCGGCCGAGGACUCGUACAGUGGGGUGAAGGUGAUCCACGUGAUCAUGGACGACGUGGCCGUCUCCCCGGUGGAGGGCUUCCUUAUCAGGAAAGGCCCGGGCAAUUGUCACUUUGACUUUGCCCAAGAGAUCCUCUUCGUGGACUACCUCCAGACGCCCGCCGACGGCAAGAGUGCUGAGGAGCACCCCAACAAGUACAAACACGUCCGCGCGUCUCCGCGUUCUGGUGGGUGCGGUGCCUUUACGCCAUGCGCUUGUGUCCACUUCAGGCGAGGCGCAAAGAAAGCCGAACAAGCCAGCAUGGAUUACGAAGCUCCCAUCAUGCCUUGUGGAUUCAUCUUUCAGCUGCAGCUGUUAACCACCUGGGGAGACUCUUACUACAUCGGCCUCAACGGCCUCGAGUUCUACAACCAGAAUCAUGAAAAGAUCAGCCUCAGUGACAAUAACAUCGCCGCUUUCCCAGACAGCGUCAACGUACUUGACAACGUGAGCGGCGACGUGAGGACUCCAGAUAAAUUAAUAGACGGCGUCAACAGCACGCAGGAUGGAAGACACAUGUGGCUGGCUCCAGUGCUCCCGGGACUGGUGAACCGCGUGUACGUCAUCUUUGAUCAGCCGGUGACCGUAUCCAUGAUUAAACUGUGGAACUACUCCAAGACCCCGCAGAGAGGAGUUAAGGAAUUUGGGCUGCUCGUGGAUGACCUCCUGGUCUACAACGGCAUCCUGGACAGCGUGAGCCACGUGAGCCGCGGCAUUCUGCCCACGUGCGAAGUGGUGGUGCCGUACCACACCAUCCUUUUCACCGACAACGCGUACAUUGCACACCGCGAAAGGAACACCGUCAUCAGUAACUACGUGGAGGACCAAGAUGUGAAGAUGACCAAUGAGAAUCAGAUCGUCCAUCACAACAAGAAGAAGCAGGCCGCAGACCCAGCUCUUCGGCCUAAAACCUGCAUGACUGACGUUGGCAAGCACGGACAGAGGAGGUACUGAUUUAUGGCUCACUUUUAUGCCUCCGGUGGGUGCAAGCGCCUCUCUCUCUCGCUCCCUUUUUUUAUUUUAUGAACACUCCACGUGAUGUGCAUAAGCCGCACUGAAGAGGACACGUUUUGCACUGAUCACAACGGUUUUGUGCUACACACACACACACACACCUUUCGUGUAUUCCACUUUCUGGUUGGAUUACUUCCAUCCCUUCUCUACAAACGGAGUCAGCGGCUCCCUCGUUGCCAGGCUAAAUAAAUCCGUCAGGCUGCUUUCUGCCAGCCUUAUUAUGAAUGUGCCUGUACUCUGCCUGUGCCGUUUCGAUACAUCAAGUCGAAUCAAAAGCCAGUCCGCUCUCACUCACUUUCUACAUCCGCUGAUUAUUCACCAUUGAAUCCACUGAUAGCCUGGUUCUUUGCUCAUCCAAUGUAAUGCUAUGCACACAAUUGUUGGUAGCUAAUGGUCGUUUACAAACGUGGGCUCUUUUGAUCGGCUAUGAGCAUUUGCGUAACACCAAGCUGAUGUAAAAAUGUAAAUUGAAGAGGGGUCACUAUUUGAGGAAAUACCUUCAAAGCAGCUUUGUCGUGUAUUUAGCCAAAUGCUAGCUUGAGCUUGACAUCAUGUCGAAGAGGAGUUGGGAAAUCAAGUGACCUUUACCAAAGUUGCGAUCCAAGCGGAUCACUUGACGCAAGUCAUUUGGUCAGCUCCGUUUAUAUUCGCACGCUUGGAUUUUGAGUCGGCGCCAUUAACGGAAGACUUCCAAUAUGCAGAAACCGCUGACUUUUACCUCAAAUUCCGGGAUUAACGAUCACACCGGGGGACGCAAUCACUUUGUCUCGUACGCUACAUUUCGAUUCAUUGCGACGGUCACGUGAGGAAAGUCUCACAAGCUGCAUUUGAGUAAAUAAGCCACAAGUUGAAUAAGUCCUCGUGUAUAAAAUGUCUUUCAUUUGCGUAUGUGUGACGUCAGAACUCGGCACCGGGUGACGAUUAUUGUAUGUGUGCAAUUGAGUGUUUGGGGGGACAAUUUAUUUUUCUAAUUUUGACGCUGUAUAUUACAUGUAGACUUGUUUCAAAGACAAAUAAAUUGUAUAUAUGUGUACUGUAUGUCAUUUUGUUUCCUCCCCCAGGUGUUGAAUCUACUUUGCGUUACCCUGUCAUGGGCAUUCACGUUAUGUUAGCAUAAAGCCAAAUGUCAAACGAUCCAUUACGCUACUAUCAAUGUAAAGUGUGAGCCCAGCAAUGAAGUUUACCAUGAUGUGUUAGCAGUAAGCUAGCGGGAGUACUCUAAAGUACUCCGAAGGCACUCUGGAAUACUGCCUGGCACGAAAGACAAAGAGACGAGUAUUUGAGAUAAAUAUAGAAUGUAUUUAUUAAGGCUCUGCUCUACAUUUUUAAUGGUGAUUGUAAGGAAUGCGCAUUUCGAGUCAGUAAAGUUGUUGAUGGAGCAACACGCGCCCCAAGCACUUAGCUGUUAAUCACAUUCUCGUCCGUGUUGACGGUGGCCGUUAGAUUUUUCCGGGGAACGUCCCCUCCGCUCUCUGCUCGUCCCACUUCUGGAUCUAGUAGACGUGAUGUCAAAUCAAAAGCAUGGUUUUGCAAAAGCAGUUUCAUGUAAGCAAUGGAUUGAUGUUCUUUACCCAAGACAUGGGGCAGAGCGACUUGUAGACCCUCCGGUACCACUCGCAUGGGCCGUUGUCCGCGCCUUUUGCAUCCAGAGCUUUCUGGCAGCGAUGGUAAUCUAUUAAUAGCCAUUCGACAAGAACAUACAACACCUAUUAGCUUGUCUAGUCAUAGACCGAUGACAACAAUACAAUUGUUAUUCAAGUCCGGUGAUCUUAGGACAGGUUGGAGGGGAAAGAGCUUAAUUAGCACGUGAUUAAAGAGACCAACAGCCCGUCUCGUGAUGUAGUUUCAAUGCAGAGAGUUGGCAAAAAAGAUCAAAUAUUUCAAGUGAGCCGGAAGCCUUACCGAGAUAGUUGGACCAGCAGUUCUUGGUCUGGUUCUGGUUGGGGAACCUGGCAUCAAAUGGAGCGGUCCGAUAGUUCUCCAGUUUGGCCUUUAUGUCCUCAGCCAUCGAAGUAAGAAUUACCUUAUGCUCGUAUCACUUGGAUGUCUGCUGACGUUUGUAGGCUCGGAAGUGCAAAGUGUAACGUUUCAGUGAUAAACGCCCCUGGGGGACGAUGAACAUCUCCUAAUGCGGAAGUAGUCUGACAAGUAAAUGAUUACAUUACAUCUGCCCGGUUUUAAAAGUGAUGUUUGGGCUUCGGUUUGUGCACUGCCCACUCAAGAGUACUCGAGAGGUGUUUCCACGUCAAACACGGUUUGCAGUGCACUUAAAUGCGGUACUAGAAUGCAAAUAGCUCCCGGUGAGUUAACGCCAUACUGUACGUUAUCAUUGGACUAUGAUCUGUAACUAAGAAGUACGUGACUGAAUCCAACGGACACAGCUCAUGCGCGUGAUAACCAGUUUGCCAACAGUUCCAGAUGUUUAAAAAUCAUUUUAAUAUUGAACAACUUGAAACUUAAAGGAAAAACCCAAGCUUGCCUUCAGAGCAACACAUUUUGAAUAUAUUAACAUAGGGCAAAAAUAAAAAUCUUACAAAUAGAAAUCCCCAAAAUACUAUAAAUCUGAUAAAGCGCCGCAACCAAUUUGCAAGAAUUCACUGCCUCGGCGAAUCUUGAAAAUAAAACCACACCGUGCAUCCUUGGAACAAGUGGCGGGGUAGUUCAAAUUGAAAUGUAAAAGCUUAAGGCUGUUCUAGUGGUAAAAUGUACAGCAGUUACCCCCACUAACCUUUACAGCACAGGUGUGAAACAAUUGCAUAGAUUUUCACAAGAGAUCUGAAGUGGAAAAGAAAAGAAUUGCAUCGUUGUGAGAAAGUGCAAGUUAAAAUACAGCAAAAGGUUCAGAUGGAUUUCUCAGCAGGCGGUGCGGUUGUCAGGGGAAAACAGCAGCUGUUUUGACAAAACACCAUCUAGAAUGGUUAGCCACACAGCUUAUAUAAUUGCCUCAAUCAUCAUUUCACUUCCCACAAAAUCAAAAAAUAAGAUUGACUUUGUUUUAAUUCUUUAUUUGCCCGUUUUCUGAAAACCUUGAAAAAAUGGCUGAGGCAAUCACGCUAUCCGGCUAACCAUGUAUUGUCGUCUAUGCAAAUGAA